This 253-nucleotide ribosomal RNA is filed under the name uncultured bacterium. Its description in RNAcentral is "partial 16S ribosomal RNA". It matches the Rfam family "Bacterial small subunit ribosomal RNA", at positions 524 to 776 of the family's 1533-position model. The record is from RNAcentral.
UACAGAGGUCUCAAGCGUUGUUCGGAUUCAUUGGGCGUAAAGGGUGUGUAGGUGGCGCUGUAAGUCGGGUGUGAAAUUUCGGAGCUUAACUCCGAAACUGCAUUCGAUACUGCGGUGCUUGAGGACUGGAGAGGAGACUGGAAUUCAUGGUGUAGCAGUGAAAUGCGUAGAGAUCAUGAGGAAGACCAGUGGCGAAGGCGAAUCUCUGGACAGUUACUGACACUGAGGCUCGAAGGCCAGGGGAGCAAACGGG